Molecule: ribosomal RNA, 255 nt
Filed under: uncultured bacterium
Lineage: Bacteria
Description: partial 16S ribosomal RNA
Rfam family: Bacterial small subunit ribosomal RNA
Source: RNAcentral
UACGAAGGGGGCUAGCGUUGUUCGGAAUUACUGGGCGUAAAGCGUGCGCAGGCGGCUUCUCAAGUCAGGGGUGAAAGCCCAGAGCUCAACUCUGGAAUUGCCUUUGAGACUGCAUCGCUGGAGUGCGGCAGGAGGGGGAUGGAAUUCCGCGUGUAGCAGUGAAAUGCGUAGAUAUGCGGAGGAACACCGAUGGCGAAGGCAAUCCCCGUGGGCCUGCACUGACGCUCAUGCACGAAAGCGUGGGGAGCAAACAGG